AUCUUGCGCGCCGCGGCCGCGCGCUGGGUCACACGGGGGCGCCCCGCGCCGGGGAGGGCCCGGGUCCCGGCGGGUUCCGCGAGCGGCGAUCGGCCUCCCGGGCUCGCCCGGGCGGGGCUCUGGAGGACGAACGGCGGCUCCCGGCGUUGGGGACAGAGGGCAGGGCGGAGGCCCGGGCUGCUCGGAAAGGGGCCGGGGCCGGGCCUUCCGAAAGCUCCUGGGCGGCCCUGCCGGAACCCUGCUCUCCACUGCGGCCUGCAGGGCUGUUACCAGGAGCCCUGCCUGCCCGCCCCACGUCUAGCCCCCUGCACACGGCAGCAGCCUUGAGCCAUUCAGUCUCCUUAGGUGUCCUGAAAUAUGCCGAGAACGCUGCCCGCCACAGCCGUGAGUGUAUGCGUUGCUGCUGCCCCAGCCCUCAUUUGGCAAGGGUGAGCUCAGGCAGCUGUGGUGAAGGCUUCCUGAGCCCGCCGGCAGAGCUCCUGCCACCCCGUACCUGUCCCCUCCUGGGCAUCGUCCUUGAUUACUUGUCUGGACCGCCACCCCCGGUCCCCGCCCUGAGAUGGGGAAGACCCCACAAGCAGCAACGCAGACUUACUCUUUUGUUUCUCCAGCUGGAUGUCUCCUCCAGCGACAGUUCCCCUUGCCCUCUUGAUCCUGACAGCGAAGGGGUUCCCCACCCCUAGCCCUACAGACUUAGGACUUUUCCUAGAAACGAGAAGUGCCCAAGGCCCACAGCUGGCCCCUGUUGGAGUCUCUUUCCUGAAGCCACCACCACUGUGGCCACUCCCAAGGAAGAUGCCAACCAUACCAUGAAACCCAUGGCUUCUCACGGGACAGACUUUACUGAGAUGUACCAACUCAAGUAUCUGAAAUGACUGCACACCCAUGCUAACCUCCACGGGGGCACUUGGUCCUACUUACACACAAAGGCCCAUCAGCUCACGGAACAGGGCUGGCAUACGAGAUGCUCAAUGCAUACAAGUUGACUUUUCAACCCUGGGAUCUACCUUUGAAGGCCAGGCCUUCCGAGGGUACCUUCUAGCAUGUGCAUGUGAAGCUGGACUCCUUUGAGCAGUUGUCUCCUCCAGCCCCUUACCAACCUGGUGAGGCUGCUCCUGAGAGCCAAGGAAGCCAGUAACAAGGGGGCCCCCUUUGGGCAAACCCCUCAGCCUGCCCUUGCCUGGUCAGAGAACCACGUUAGCAGUCAACAGAGGGCACGUGAGGGUCCUGGCCAGAAUGAGACACAGGAGGAGCCACAGCCUGCGGGGGUGGGGGUGUCCAAAAGCACCACAGCACAUCCAGACCUAGGGGGUGCCCCUACCAUACGGGUCUGGAGCAGGGAGGUUGUGCUGCAGGCUGACUCAUGCCAGGCCCUUCCCGUCACACGCUGGAGCAGUGUGCCUGGAGAGCACUGGCUUGGAAGAAGCUGAGGGGCCAGCGAGGCCAGCAUAUGGAGGAGGCUUCCCUUGGCCGCUCGUGGCAGGCCUGAAGGCAGCUACCUGUGUCCAGGGACAGCCAGAUCCAAUGAGGAAACGCAGCACCAUGCUGUCAUGUGAGCUGGAGGGGGACUUCUGUCUUAUAAUGAAAGCCCAGACCUUGAGUCACUUUCACAGAGAGAUUUAUCGAGAAUGCUAACAGCACAGGAUACAGUACUUCCCAACAAAAGGUGCAAACGCGUCACUUAGAAAGGCAUGCUGAGUAUUCUUUGCUUUCACAUGUAUUAAAAAACUUACAAAAAUAAAAUAAAACUGCGUGCUGCCCAUCUUUUCCAAUAGUAAAAGAACCUUAUGAAAAAAUCACU
RNAcentral lists this long non-coding RNA (1801 nucleotides) under Homo sapiens (human). RNAcentral describes it as "HSALNT0409142". The record is from RNAcentral. Lineage: Eukaryota; Metazoa; Chordata; Mammalia; Primates; Hominidae.